AACGCACAUUGCGCCUCCUGGUAUUCCGGAAGGCACGUCUGUUUGAGCGUCAGUUAACCCCUCAUAGAGCGAUUUAUGGUAUUGGGGGCCGCCGGGCCACCGGCGGCCCCCUGAAACUGGCAGGGAGAUGCCCCGCGGUACAGUGGUAGAACAUUCCCGCGGGUAGCACUGUCCCUUCAAGAACCGGCUCGCUUAGAGCUCGCACUCUUGACCUCAAAUCAGAUGAGGAUACCCGCUGAACUUAA
RNAcentral lists this unclassified non-coding RNA (245 nucleotides) under uncultured fungus. RNAcentral's name for it is "partial contains 5.8S ribosomal RNA, internal transcribed spacer 2, and large subunit ribosomal RNA". The record is from RNAcentral. Lineage: Eukaryota; Fungi.